This 669-nucleotide long non-coding RNA is filed under the name Mus caroli (Ryukyu mouse). RNAcentral describes it as "lncRNA (MGP_CAROLIEiJ_G0013637.1)". The record is from RNAcentral. Lineage: Eukaryota; Metazoa; Chordata; Mammalia; Rodentia; Muridae.
UGCAUACCGAUGGGGGUUUGCAAGCCGGUUCCUAACUCUGUUGUGUGUGUACAAGGCUGCUGUCAAAACGCUAAUAUGAUGUCUCUGAAGGGGGAGGAGGCCUUUGAAUGAGCAACUUCCAGCCCAGGCUCCUGCCUGUAAGGAUAAGGACCAGAUCGAGCAUCCUCAUUUAGAGCCUUUCACAUAACCCAGGCUACCACCAUUUCUAACAGAAUGAGAGACAUGGCACUCUGAAAAGAGCUUAAUGUUUCUUUGAAUAAGAUGAUUAAAAAGAAGAUUCCCAUCAAUGAUUUAAUCUGGGCCACUGUUGAUGAAGUUCAGAAAGGAGGAUUUGUUCCAGGGGCCUGUGGAGAGGACGGGAAGAGGAUACAACUUAGUGCUGGAGCAGCAGAGGCAGCUUCCACAGUCACUGAGAUCAGCUGCUGGGUCCUGGCUGGCUGAAGCAAGCUUAGGCUUGCAGACUGACUGACAGGAGAGGCGAGCACAGCAUGGGGGAAAGGAGGGUAAUUGGAACUGUGGAACUUUCUUGCAUAUUUCUGAGCCACUUAUAACUUUUUUUAGUGAAGGAAAUUUUUAUUCUAGAAGAUAAUGUUUGGUUGUUCAUGUGUGGGAAUUCUUAUAAUUCUAGCAUAGACUCAUUCAGUGUUCAUAAUAUAAAUAGUUCCUCCA